RNAcentral lists this non-coding RNA (760 nucleotides) under Tenebrionoidea sp. 2 KM-2017. The record is from RNAcentral. Lineage: Eukaryota; Metazoa; Arthropoda; Insecta; Coleoptera.
AUAAAGUUUUAUUCUAGCUUGUGGUUUUACUAUAUGAUUUUUGUAUAUGUAAGUUUUAGCGGGGGCUAUCUUAGAUAGAAAAAUUAGCAGUACAAAGUUUUAAAUAUUAAGUUAAUCUUAGAUUUAGGAAUUUAUUUUAGUAUAGACAAAAUUUGUGCCAGCAGUUGCGGUUAUACAAAUUAUGCAAGUUAAACUUAUUUAAUUUAGUUAAUUAAAUAUGAAAAAGCUUAGCUCAGGAUUUUUUGGGUGAAAUUUUAAAUUCUGUUAUGGCUUGUUUGUUGUUUUUGAGGCUGGGAAAUUUAGUAUUAAACUAGGAUUAGAUACCCUAUUAUUAUAAAUGUGAAUUUUUGGUUAAAAUUAGUAAAAGUUAUGAUCUUUAAAGUUAAAGAUUUUGGCGGUAUUUUAGUCUGAUCAGAGGAACCUGUUUUAUAAUCGAUAAUCCACGAUUAAUUUUACUUUAAUUUUUAAUUUAUAUAUCGUCGUAGUUUGAAUAUUUCAGAAGAAAAUUAAUGUUCAAUUGUUUCAAUAAGAAGUGAAUUCAGAUCAAGGUGUAGUUUAUAUUGAAGUAAAAAUGGGUUACAAUGUAUUUAUAUUUGGUUUUUGUUUUUAAAAGAUGAAAUAAAUUGGAUUUGAAAGUAAGUUUUAGUAUUUAUUAAAGUUGAUUAAGCUCUAAAAUAUGCACAUAUCGCCCGUCGCUUUCGUUAUAAAAUGAAAUAAGUCGUAACAAAGUAGGCCUAUUGGAAAAUGGGCCUGGAAUGAU